This 73-nucleotide transfer RNA is filed under the name Belgica antarctica. RNAcentral describes it as "tRNA IU25_tRNA_9". It matches the Rfam family "tRNA". Rfam says of the family: Transfer RNA (tRNA) molecules are approximately 80 nucleotides in length. The record is from RNAcentral. Lineage: Eukaryota; Metazoa; Arthropoda; Insecta; Diptera; Chironomidae.
GCCCUUGUAGCGUAAUGGAUAACGUGUUAGCCUCCUAAGCUAAAGACUCUGGGUUCGAAUCCCAGCAGGGGCU